This 366-nucleotide unclassified non-coding RNA is filed under the name uncultured fungus. RNAcentral's name for it is "sequence contains ITS1". The stretch from base 1 to 104 matches the Rfam family "5.8S ribosomal RNA", at positions 50 to 154 of the family's 154-position model. Lineage: Eukaryota; Fungi. The record is from RNAcentral.
AAAGCGCGAUAUGUAGUGUGAAUUGCAGAACUGCGAGUCAUCGAAACUUUGAACGCACAUUGCACUUGGUGGUUAUUCCGCCAAGUAUGCUUGUUUGAGUGUCUGAUUAUUCUCUCCACUAUUCAGUUAGUGGGUUACUGGUCUCAUAUUUUACGAUAUUUGGCUUAAAUUCAGUCAGUGAGGAAGUUGCUUUUAAGCAAACUUGUUCUUUGCAUUGUCCAUGUCAAAAGCAGGGGCAGUAAGAAGAGUAAGCGUGAGUAAAAGUGGCAAUUUUACUGUCCAACUCCUUUUUUUUUACAGCGUAGCAAUACGCAGUAAAUCUGAACAAUGGACCUCAAAUCAAGCAAGGUUACCCGCUGAACUUAA